CUUUCUCGUAAGAGAAAAACGUAAAAUCCUCUUUCCUUUUUAGGUCUUUUUCCUUUUCUUCUUGCUUAAGAUAGAGCAGACAGAAAAGAUUUUUAAUCAUUGGUUAAUCUCUAUCCAUUUAUUCUUUUAUCUUUCAUUUUUGAACAUUCCCCUUAUCCACUGGGUGUUGAGAAUCUUCGUCAACCUCCUUCACGAUCGUGCUCGCAGAAUGAGGAAUUCCGGUCGUACCUUGGGGUGUUAUUUCCGAAUGACGUCAUCCUUUUUUUUAUGAAAUUAAUGAUAAAAGAUAAAACAGGAAAUAUUAUAGUUACUGACCCAGUUUUCAACGUACUAUUCAGCUCGGGGUAGAUAAAAAUAGUAAUUAUAAUUUUUUAAUAUUUGAGACUAAAGAUUUAUAAAUGUUAUCGACACCCUAAGGUGGGUGUACUUAGAAUUGUUGUCUCACUUUAGGUUCGUAGGGGACAAAAAAAAAAUUGGGGUUUUUUACUCUUAAGGUGUUUUUUAUCUAUUAUUUCUUACUUUGUCGUCCCUUGAACUCCCUUUGUUUAAUCUUUAACGGUUUUCGUACUGUCCUAUUACAGUUUUUAAUCGUGGUUUUAAUGUUGUAUUUUAGUUGACUGGACGAGACGUAGAAAGGUAAACUGAAUUAGAACAUUCUAGUAGAGUUGACUCCGGACUCUGUUGAUUGACAUUGUCAAAGGUUUGAUUAUUAUUUUGACCGUAUUUUUCGUAUCAACUUAAAGGCUUCGACACUAAUGUUUAAUGAAGUAAAGGACGCCUAGAAUUAUAAGUUUCAGGUAACUUCGGAAGGGAGACCAGCGCCUUAUAGGAAGCCGUUUGCCUCGCCGUGGAGCAUGAGAGGGUCGCUGCAGUCGCCGCUGCCAUCCACCUCCAAUAGACCCACCUAUAACUAUGUUUCAACGGAUCGGUGGACACACACACACAUACGCUCUCUCUCUCUCUCUCUCUCUCUCUCUCUCUCUAAUCGUUUUCCUCUUUUCUCUCAAAGUUGAGAUCUGUUUAAACACGUCUUUUAUUUUAAUCGUCUCACUUCAAAGUGUCUUUUCCGUAAUCUAAACUUCUUCGUACUUUGUCUACGUUGUUUGUCUCCGGAUUCUAUUUAUAAAAUCAGGUCCAAGUCGUUGCUUUUUGUAUGACUCUACAAACUAGCGAGUUUUCUCAAUAGUCACCAAAUGUUCUUGUAUGGUAGCGUUUCUUUUAGGUACUUAAUAAAAGAAAAGUCUACCCUAAUUUUCUUUUAAAUCUUUUUACCAACCUUUAUCUUUUCAUGGAGGAGCUGUUAAAGUAGGAAACAGUGGCCACUUGCGUUAAGCAAUAGUUGGAACUACUUGGAGGAGUUUUGGAUACCACUAUAAAAUGUCCUCAAUGUCAGUAUCGGUAUACAUAUCUUCGGCCAUCAUGUAGUUCUGUUAUAAAGUUUCAAACUAGUCGUUUACUUUGUCAUCCUUAAGGUGCGUAAUGCUAAAAAAGUAACAGGAAACAUCCUCUCAUUUAUAUUUUUAAUAGUAGCAGGUAUCCAACUAACCUUCGUAGUAAUAUGUAUGUAUAUAUAUAUAUAUAUAUAUAUAUAUACGUUGAACCUUUGACAAUAAAAUCAAAGGCAAGUUUCUAAUUUUACUACCAUUUUAGUUAAUCGUGACAACUCUAUCUUUUUUAUAGUGUAAAUGGUCUUUGUCUUACAAGGAGAAUGUUUAAUAGUAUAUAGUUUUCUCUUGUACUUUUCAUCUGUCUUAUAUAAUCUUUUCCACGGUCAAAAGUUUACGUAUCAUGUCUUUGAACUUGGGAGAGGGACCAUUAGAACUGUAAUAUAUCGUAAUAUAUGAUUAACUCUAAGAGAUAAGGUAAAAGUAACGGUUUUUGGCUUUGGUAUUAUAAGGGCGAAAACAAUUUGUUUGGUGAUCUUCUUAGUUCUUUUCUUUUAGCGGUUUCAAUCGACUUAUUUCUAUUUUUGAGUUAGAUGACAAAAACUUUAGGAGGUUAGAUGCUUUCUUAUAUAUCUCAAAGCGUUAAGUCUCUUUACCUUUUUAGAAGUUGAUUUAUACUUGACAAUUGCCGUGGCAUAUAGUUUCUUCUUAGUUAACGUACGGUUCGUUUUAGUUCAUUAAUUGUGGUAAAGAAAUAACUUUACUACGAUCGUUUGUAAGUGUUAUUUAUAAGACAUCUGACUUUGUAUUACGUAGUCUUUUCAUGUGUUGAUGGUUUAAAAAUGAGUGGUUCUCCCGUAAUAGUUCUGCGAAACGACGGUAGACUAUAAGAAAGUAAAAUUCAAGGACAACGACAAAGUCUGUUUAUUUUUCGUGUAAUCUUAAACUGAUCGAUGUUAUCUCAUACUUAUGUAGGUUAUUUACAUUCUUUUUACGUUAUCAUUCGUGCGUACUACAUUUAGCAUGUUAUGCGAUUUAAUCAAAACGUGUCCCUAUGAAGUCAAGGAACCGUAAAUGCAUUAAAUCCGUUUAUGUUUAUAAUUUCUAGAGAAGUUUAUACAUGAGGCACGACGGUGGUUCCAGUAACCAUUAUCGAAUUAAGAGGAUUUGAACUGUAAAAGAGUUUAGGUGGGUGAUUACUCAUGUCCUUGUUGUGACAUUGAAUGUAAAACUUUGGUGUGGGAUUCCGGGUUUCUGGUCGAUUAGAUGAAAAGACGUUAAACGGGUCCCAAGUUGGUAUAAAACUUGGAGAUUUCCUGAAGUUAAGUAUGAGUCUACUUACACGUCUCAUAAAUUCUCUCGUUACGGUGGUUGUCUAUUUUGUUAUCUUGUUUUGUAAAAUCUAUUUUAUCUAGAAAGAAUGAAUUCAUGAAUUGAUCGAGUAGUGGAUAAAAAACAAGUUAGUUUGUGAAGGCAAAAAUGCAUGAUGUAACAGAGGAAGUUGAGGAGGAAUGAAAGGGACGAAUAAAAUGUAGAUUUGAAUUAGGUGAGAAUUGUUUUAAUUAACAAUAUGGUUAAAACCACAUAUACUGGAAUCAUAAAACCUAACCAUUUUAAGGAUACAUGAAAUUAGGAUCUGGUCUAUCGUCACUAAGACCGUAAUGUAAUUCGUAAAGUUUCUAGUCAGCCUCCUGAACAAAUGUCAUUCAGAAGAUGUAACAGUUCAACUAUAUAGUGAAAGGUUUCUUUCCCGUCAUCAGGCUGUGUACUAGUAAGACUAUGGAUACAAACAAACGUACUAUUAUAAUAUGGAGAUAAGUAUGGAGAUGAGUAUGGAGGUAUGAAGAUAAAUGAAGCUAACUCUUAUACGUUUAAAAACUUCAUACCAAUUUACCGUAAAGGUAAAAUACAAUAAGGUACAGGACACUCGAUCCUUUCACUCGUUGUUUUCUUUCCUUUGUACUAGUUUAAUAUCACGUUGAGAGUACCUCCAUCUCUUCUCAUAAGGAAGGUAGAGUUUGACCUUGUAGUGAUUGAGAGUACCUUUUAAUCUACAUCUUUUCUCUUAAGGAAGAUCUUUGUUCAAUACAUGAUGGCGUUGUUUUGUAUAUUAGGGUCUAAUGUCUUUAUAACCAUUAAUUUUGUUGUUUAACAUUAUUUAUAGGAGUAUUUUUUUAUAUAUAGACAGUGACUACGUGAUGUAUUCGAGAGGAGGCUAGUAUAGAUGUACGUAAUAAGGUAUUCUCAGUUUUAUCUUCUCUUUUCUUUCUACACAUUGUACAACCUUGUUUAUGGCGUCGCUUUUAGACUAACACUAAUUUUAGAUUGAUUGAAACACUAUUUUUAUUUUUGUUUGUUUGUAUGUCUAUUUGCGUUUAUUUAGUUGAGUGUCUAUUAGCGAUUUAGGGUUUUAACACCUUUUCCUUAUAGUUGUAUAAUUAGGCCUUCGCACGCUCCGUGACGGGAUUCCGCAUAAGGGCAGGAAUGCACGCCUUAAUUGNAUUGUGAUUAAAUCUGACGGUGCUAAUCUAUUAAAAUAUAUACAUAUAUAUUUUUGCAUAUAAUUCUGUUUGACAACUUGCUUGUAUGCUUGUCAUUCAAAUUUAAAUAAAUUGGGAUUAGCAUUUUUAAUUUCUAAUUGGAUAUUGUUUAUCUGCAAAUUAUUUUUUUUAUUGUUAUUAUUUUUACCGUACGGAUUCAAAAGGGUGGAUUUUUUUUUGCGACAGUAAAUAACAUUUUAUUUAUGUACGGUUUGAGUUUUGCUAUUGAAAAUUCCUUAAAAUUUUUUUGUUAAAAAAAAAGGGAUUUGCUACAGUGAUUUUUUUAAAGUGUACGGUUUUUUUAAAAAUUGUUACAGUAAUUAUUUUUAGCUUUCCUGUGUGUACGGGUUUUAGUUUUGCUACAGUAAAACCCAUUGCUAAUUAAAAAAAAAUUGCUACAGUACUUUCUUUUCCACUGUUGAGAUUUAUUAAAACUUAUUUUCAAAUAGAUUUUAAAACUUAAUUUUAGAGAUAUAAAUAUACUAUUUUUCGAAAAAAAAAAAGGGAAGGAAAAAUAUUUUGUUCCAAGGGAGAUUUGAUUUCACAGUAUCUAACCUGCAACACUAUUUCUAAAUUUUAUUUUUUCUAUUAUUUCAGCAAUUUUUAAAAUCUAUUUGCUGCAUAGAUAUUAUUUGAUUGCAUAUGUUAUUUGCUCGAAAUUACCUAAUUGAAAUCAAUUUUGUUUUAAAAAAAAUUGUUUGGUCCGUCUUUUGCUGUUGAAUCAAACUCUAUUCAACAUGAUUAAAUUUCAUGAUUUUUAAAUUUUAGUAUAUCUCUGAAAUUGUGGGGGAGCGUCUUUAUCAGUUUGAUAAAUUUUGAUAUUAUAAUUGCUCUCAUGUUUUCAUUUUGUCUAUCAUUGUGUUUAACUUGUAAAUAAAAUUUAUAAAUUCUAAAGUUAACAUUUAUAUUAUAUUGAGAUAGAAAUCUGUUAGAUGGUUAAUUAUCUAUCAUAUUAUUUAUUUGAGUUUUGUCAGAUUUGACUAGAAUCUUGCAGAUUACCAGAUUGAAGGCCUAAAGAGGACUAUGGUCCUGUAGUCAUCGAGGGGGAUGGGACUUUGCCCGUAAAGGGCCUUCCUGCAGUGGGAACCCAACCUUUGUGAUAGGAGAUCCCUUGAAGAAGGUUCAAUGUGGUAAAAACAAGCUGUCAGGUUGGCCAAGAGCACUUUCUACAAAUUUUAUAAAGGAGCUUUAGCUCCAAUCCCAUCCCUAUGGUGAGUAGUGCUCUGUGUAGUGGAUCAGGUUGAGCUGAGAGCUCUUAAUGGGAUCCAAGGCGAUAAUUUUCGCGAGAUGUGACUCUACACACAUCCCUGGAGGAAACCACCUAUAUAAGAGUAUCCGUAUGUGGCCGCGGCUAUGUGAUAUGGGCUAUCCAUAGAAACUCUUAUGAAAAAUCAAGGUACUGUGCAUGGCCAUUAACGCACAGACCCGCGACGGAGAAUUCUGUACUGUGUGUGUGGUGGUUGAAGUCAGGGUCAAAGGAACGUAGUUCAAGACCUGGUUCACUCCGAUUCCUUCUGAUGGAAAUCACUUACACUAAGUGGGGUUAAGUCUCUUAAAGACACCUCACCCAUUGCAUAGUAUAAAACACCCAGUAAAUUUGAUUUUAAUUCGUAAUUUUAAAAUUUUGAGUUUUGUGGGGGAUUGUUGGUGAAAAACUCAAAAUUUUGAGUUUGAAUUUAUUUUAUUUGAACUUUAAAUUAUUUAUUAUUUAUUAUUUAUGAUUCUAUUUAUUUACUACUUUAUUUAUUUUAUUUUAUUUAAUUAUUUUAGUAUCUUUCUUAAUGAGAAAGAAACUAACGGAAUUUUUUUCCGUUCCGUUUCUUCCGUGUUACGUUGGGCGGGUUCCGCUUCUUUCUCGUAAGAGAAAAACGUAAAAUCCUCUUUCCUUUUUAGGUCUUUUUCCUUUUCUUCUUGCUUAAGAUAGAGCAGACAGAAAAGAUUUUUAAUCAUUGGUUAAUCUCUAUCCAUUUAUUCUUUUAUCUUUCAUUUUUGAACAUUCCCCUUAUCCACUGGGUGUUGAGAAUCUUCGUCAACCUCCUUCACGAUCGUGCUCGCAGAAUGAGGAAUUCCGGUCGUACCUUGGGGUGUUAUUUCCGGUUAAUCCCGCACGUAAGGACGGGAAUACGCCUUAGGGCAGUGCCUCGCACGCUUUCGGAUUAAUAUAUUGAUAUUCUUUUUCCACAAUUUUGAAAUUUAGCGAUUAUCUGUGAGUUGAUUUAUUUGCAUUUAUCUGUAUGUUUGUUUAUUUUUAUUUUUAUCACAAAGUUAGUUAGGUUUUAAUUGCAACCGGAUUCCUAUGCGAUAUUUGUU
RNAcentral lists this long non-coding RNA (6235 nucleotides) under Ananas comosus (pineapple). RNAcentral describes it as "long non-coding RNA (ACOM_LNC015426)". Lineage: Eukaryota; Viridiplantae; Streptophyta; Magnoliopsida; Poales; Bromeliaceae. The record is from RNAcentral.